UAAAUGUAGACGAAAUCAAAAACUAAUUGCACAGUUUUGUUGUACUUUGCGAGACGAAUCUUUUGAGCCUAAUUAGUCAAUAUUUGGACAAUAAUUCACAAAUACAAACGAAACGCUACAGUGUGCUACAGUGCUAGCACAGUGAUUUUGGACACCCAAAAUCAGGCAACUUGUUAGGCCCAGCUCGCCUCGUGUGCGCACAGCACAGCAGCCUUGACACCUCUGGUUG
This 229-nucleotide long non-coding RNA is filed under the name Setaria italica (foxtail millet). RNAcentral's name for it is "long non-coding RNA (SITA_LNC005569)". Lineage: Eukaryota; Viridiplantae; Streptophyta; Magnoliopsida; Poales; Poaceae. The record is from RNAcentral.